UGGUAUUUUAUUUAUUAAAUUUCUCCUUUCAGAUGCCUGAACUGGCAUGAUAUUAUAUUAAAUAUAUAUUGCUUAUGUUUCAUCAAUCUUGUUGGUGCAGGUGAUUGGACUCUAUGUUGGGGUAGCGACCGUUGGAGUUUUCAUCAUAUGGUUCACACAAGACUCUUUCUUAGGAAUUGACCUAAGUAAAGAUGGCCACAGUCUUGUCACUUAUUCACAACUUACUAACUGGGAUCAGUGCAACUCCUGGGGGAAUUUCUCAGCUUCAUCUUUCACAGCCGGAUCUCAAGUGUUCAGUUUUGAUGCCAAUCCAUGCGACUACUUUCAUACUGGAAAAAUCAAAGCCAUGACCCUUUCCCUCUCUGUUUUGGUGGCCAUCGAGAUGUUCAAUUCCCUUAAUGCCCUUUCUGAGGAUGUGAGCCUCUUGACGAUGCCCCCUUGGGUGAACCCAUGGCUCCUCUUGGCCAUGUCAGUCUCGUUUGGCCUGCACUUCUUGAUUCUUUAUGUUCCUUUCCUUGCUCAAGUAUUCGGCAUUGUACCAUUAAGCCUGAACGAGUGGUUAUUGGUGGUAGCUGUUGCUUUCCCGGUGAUUUUGAUCGACGAGGUUCUCAAAUUUGUGGGUAGGUGUACAAGUGGAGUCCGAUCGUCGCGCUCAAGGAAUUCAUUGAAGCACAAGGAAGAGUGACGUUUUAGUUAGAAUUAUUAGCAGGAGGAGGUUGUUAUCCAUAAAAGCUUCAAUGGGUCUAAUUGACCUUAUAUUACUCUUGGUCCGUCCUUCAACCCUUAUGUCAAGGGUAAGGGUUAGUUAAUUGGACCUUGAAGAUUCAAUUAAACUGAUUAAACAACUUGUAACAGUAGAAUUUAGUUGAACUUGGUAGCUGUUCUUUUUACCUACCCUGUGAUCUAACUUUUGGGAAGAUAUCUUAAAUUGAAUCCAUCUUGAGUUAAAGUUUAUGUCUCGUCUUUAUUCGGGUCUGUCUUGGUUAAUUUUUGUGAAGUUUGAUUAGAGUUUACUGCUUGCGAUUGGCAUCUUGUAGAAGUAUAUUUUUCUUGAUUGCUCGAGUCCCAAACUUACCUAUCAAUAGAAAAUGUCAAAGGUGAUCUACUUUGCACGAGCACUGUCGCAGCAGGAAAAUGAGCUUUGAAUAAAUGUCAUGGACUAACCAAAUAUCUACUCCACUCCAAGCGGAAUAGCUUCUUAUGAUAGAAUGCACAAAGCAUCCAUGAUUCAAAACAAUAGUUACCCGGCAGGUAUACGUAACGCAUGGUAAAAUAUAGAGGGCUUUUUUUUGAACCUAUUUUUUUUUAUAUAAAGCAAAUUUGGAGAAAAAAGAUGUCAAAGACUUGAAGUGGCGUUUGAACCUAUUUUUAUUUUUUUAUAUAUAUAGCAAAUUAAGUGGCGUUCAAGUUUACUUUGAAAAAAAUAUUCUGACAUUUUACUUUUUUACAAAUUUGCUUUAUAUAUAAAAAAAAUUACAACGCCAAACUAGGUCGCCUUCAAGUUAUUUGACAUUAUUUAAAAAAUAAACUUUAUAAAAAAAAGUUGUAAUGAUAAAAUGUACUCAAACCUUUCAACGCCAGUUGAAAUGGCAUUCAAGCUAACAUCUGCUUUAUAAAUAUUCCGAAAUGAUAUUCAAUUAUUUUAUUUUCAAAUUUGCUUUUAUAAAAUAAAAAAUUAUAAAAAAAUUUUAAUAAAAAUUUGUUUUGUAAGAAAAAAAUUCUGGUAAGUUUUUUGUUUAAAAAAAAUAUACAAAAGGGAUUCUUACAUUCAACCCCAGUUCUAUUGGCUUUUAGCCUAUUUUCGGAAAAAGUGAAUAAAAGGGAUGUAAAUGAUAAAAUUAAACCUAUUUAAGGUUAUUUGGGUGAGGAACAUUUGGUGGGGGGGCAGAUUUGCAGCAGGUGCAGUACCGAGACCAGUAGGAGGAGCACUCGGGGCAAUCAGACUCUGGCCGGUAUAACCUUUUUGGUGUUUAGUUAGUGAAAUUACCACAUAAGUUGUAGAAUACUGUAACUUCUUUUUGCUGAUUCUUAACUGGUUGAAGGGUAGAUGCACAAUUGACAACACCAAAAAGGUAUUUGUGUAAUCCCAUUCCGUUAGCUUCAAGUGUUGUCCACAUGCGAUCUUCUUCUCUUUCUUUAGAACACUAACAAAGUAAAAAAAGCUGCUCAAAUAUCAAUUAGAGACGAGAGAUUUAAAUUUUCUAUGAUUGUAGAGUUAUUUUUCAUAGCCAGAUGUGGUACUAUCUUUAUUGUUUUGCAAGUAACAGUUGUUUUGCCUCAAAAUAAAAUCAAGUAAGAGGAUUUUCAAUAUCCAUAGUACUGAAUUGAUAGUAAAAACAGAGCAUAUAAAGGAACAAACACAAAAUACCAGAACAAAUGCAUUUCCAUUCCAACAAGAGCAAAUAUUACAACCAAAACCAUGCAUUUCCAUCAACUCUACAAACCAUUACAUUUCAUUCCAAUGCUUUUCAUACCAACAUAAUAGCUACUACUUACUGUAAUUACAACCAAGAGAUAAUCCAUACCCCAAACAACAUAAACCUAAAAUCCAACACAAACCCAAAUUUCCAUCCAAAAAACCACCGCAUUUUUCAUACCAUUUUUUGUUUCUUGAUUGCAAGACUUUUGGACAACAAAGCCCUAACCACCAAACCCAUACAGGGUCCUUCCCUGCCUUUUCAGUGCAUACACAACAUCCAUGGCAGUCACAGUUUUCCGGCGAGCAUGCUCAGUGUAAGUGACAGCAUCACGAAUGACAUUCUCAAGGAAGAUCUUGAGAACCCCACGAGUCUCUUCAUAGAUUAAACCACUAAUACGCUUUACUCCUCCCCUGCGAGCCAAUCUCCUUAUGGCCGGCUUAGUUAUUCCCUGGAUGUUAUCCCUCAGUACCUUACGGUGCCGUUUUGCUCCUCCCUUUCCCAAUCCCUUUCCCCCCUUUCCUCUUCCCGACAUUUUUGAUUACUCGAGAAAUUUCACUCUCUCAAUUCCUGCUGAAUUAAAAGAAACAAAUAACAAUUACUCUUUAUUAAUAAACCCUAGAAAUCAAAGGAAACUUAAAUUGAUCACUAAACUGAAUCCUUGGCUUCAUUUAUAUAUACAAAUACAUAAAAACAUAUACGUUAGUAUACUGAUUUGAAGCUUAGAAUUGUAAAUUUUCGACAGCAUAAACAAUCAAAUGAACUAAUCAACAAAUCAGUCACUGAUGAAGAUAAUUAUUUGACGUUUUUUUUUUUUUAUCAAACUAGAUUUAUAGAGAGAGGAACAAACCUGAAACUUAAUAUUAGAUCUGUUGGUGGGGGAGCAGAUGAUGAGUUAAAAGGGGAACUGAAGAUGAAUUUAUAGGGUGAGGAGCUUUUUACUUUCGGGCAGUAGGGACUUGAUCCUCAACAGGUUGUGAAAUAGUUUUUAACCGUUGAUUGAUAGGUAGGUAAGGACGGUUCAGAUAAGAUAUUCAGAAGCACACGGAUCGGUGACGUGGUGGUUGUGCUUUUGAAUGAAAAGUUUCAAGUAAUUAUGUGUUGUGUUUCGAAAUGUGCGCGGCAAAAUGUUCGCGGGAGGGGGAAGCUGAUUUCACUCAAAUUAUAAUUACUACCAAUGUUUCUCAAACCCGGGAAAAAAUUAUAUUAAACGGAUGGACAUUCGUUAAAUGGACAGAGGUUAAAAUAUGUUCUCACUUUUAUUUCAAUGUUUACUGUAAGACUGAUCAUUCGGUUAUAAUCGAAUCGAAUAGGCUAUUCGAUUAUAAUCGAAUACCGAAAUAAUCGUAAUUUCAAUAUCUGAAAAACUAAUCGAAUUUUAGAAAUAACCGAAUUACCGAAUACCGAAUUACCGAAUUCGGUAAUUCGGUUAAUAACCGAACUAGCCAAAAUUAAAACUGAUUGAAAGCAAAAUCACCAAAUUAGCCGAAUAAACAUCAAUAAAAUCUUGCCCAAUUCAAAUUUACAAUCAAAAACAGCAAACCCAAAUGAGUAGAGCAUGAACCCAGAUUCACCACCCAUCACAGUGGAUGACAUCACGAACCCUCUAUACAAUAAAUGUGCCCAUGACCUGGAACCAAUGUUUGAACUGGAAACAGAUCUGGAAUCAAAGCUGCUGCUAGGUGUGCUCAUUGGAUCUGGAAUCAAAGCUGCUGCUAGGUGUGCCCAUGAUCUGGAAUCCGGACUGGANNNNNNNNNNNNNNNNNNNNNNNNNNNNNNNNNNNNNNNNNNNNNNNNNNNNNNNNNNNNNNNNNNNNNNNNNNNNNNNNNNNNNNNNNNNNNNNNNNNNCUUAUGUUUCAUCAAUCUUGUUGGUGCAGGUGAUUGGACUCUAUGUUGGGGUAGCGACCGUUGGAGUUUUCAUCAUAUGGUUCACACAAGACUCUUUCUUAGGAAUUGACCUAAGUAAAGAUGGCCACAGUCUUGUCACUUAUUCACAACUUACUAACUGGGAUCAGUGCAACUCCUGGGGGAAUUUCUCAGCUUCAUCUUUCACAGCCGGAUCUCAAGUGUUCAGUUUUGAUGCCAAUCCAUGCGACUACUUUCAUACUGGAAAAAUCAAAGCCAUGACCCUUUCCCUCUCUGUUUUGGUGGCCAUCGAGAUGUUCAAUUCCCUUAAUGCCCUUUCUGAGGAUGUGAGCCUCUUGACGAUGCCCCCUUGGGUGAACCCAUGGCUCCUCUUGGCCAUGUCAGUCUCGUUUGGCCUGCACUUCUUGAUUCUUUAUGUUCCUUUCCUUGCUCAAGUAUUCGGCAUUGUACCAUUAAGCCUGAACGAGUGGUUAUUGGUGGUAGCUGUUGCUUUCCCGGUGAUUUUGAUCGACGAGGUUCUCAAAUUUGUGGGUAGGUGUACAAGUGGAGUCCGAUCGUCGCGCUCAAGGAAUUCAUUGAAGCACAAGGAAGAGUGACGUUUUAGUUAGAAUUAUUAGCAGGAGGAGGUUGUUAUCCAUAAAAGCUUCAAUGGGUCUAAUUGACCUUAUAUUACUCUUGGUCCGUCCUUUAACCCUUAUGUUCGGGUUAGUUAAUUGGACCUUGAAGAUUCAAUUAAACUGAUUGAACAACUUGUAACAGUAGAAUUUAGUUGAACUUGGUAGCUUUUCUUUUACCUACCCUGUGAUCUAACUUUUGGGAAGAAAAAAUGAAUCCAUCUUGAGUUAAAAUUUAUGUCUCGUCUUUAUUCGGGUCUGUCUUAGUAAAUUUUUGUGAAGUUUGAUUAGAGUUUAGUGCUUGCGAUUGGCAUCUUGUAGAAGUAUAUUGGUUUCUUGCUCGAGUGGUCGUUG
This 5252-nucleotide long non-coding RNA is filed under the name Panax ginseng (ginseng). RNAcentral describes it as "long non-coding RNA (PGIN_LNC006541)". The record is from RNAcentral. Lineage: Eukaryota; Viridiplantae; Streptophyta; Magnoliopsida; Apiales; Araliaceae.